GUAGGGUGCGAGCGUUAAUCGGAAUUACUGGGCGUAAAGCGUGCGCAGGCGGUUCUAUAAGACAGAUGUGAAAUCCCCGGGCUUAACCUGGGAACUGCGUUUGUGACUGUAGGACUCGAGUGUGGCAGAGGGGGGUGGAAUUCCACGUGUAGCAGUGAAAUGCGUAGAGAUGUGGAGGAACACCGAUGGCGAAGGCAGCCCCCUGGGUCAACACUGACGCUCAUGCACGAAAGCGUGGGGAGCAAAC
Molecule: ribosomal RNA, 247 nt
Filed under: uncultured Sulfuritalea sp.
Lineage: Bacteria; Pseudomonadati; Pseudomonadota; Betaproteobacteria; Nitrosomonadales; Sterolibacteriaceae
Description: partial 16S ribosomal RNA
Rfam family: Bacterial small subunit ribosomal RNA
Source: RNAcentral